UGGGGAAUAUUGCACAAUGGGCGCAAGCCUGAUGCAGCCAUGCCGCGUGUAUGAAGAAGGCCUUCGGGUUGUAAAGUACUUUCAGCGGGGAGGAAGGGAGUAAAGUUAAUACCUUUGCUCAUUGACGUUACCCGCAGAAGAAGCACCGGCUAACUCCGUGCCAGCAGCCGCGGUAAUACGGUGGGUGCAAGCGUUAAUCGGAAUUACUGGGCGUAAAGCGCACGCAGGCGGUUGGUUAAGGCAGAUGUGAAAUCCCCGGGCUCAACCUGGGAACUGCAUCAGAUACUGGCAAGCUGGAGUCUCGGAGAGGGGGGUAGAAUUCCAGGUGUAGCUGUGAAAUGCGUAGAGAUCUGGAGGAAUACCGGUGGCGAAGGCGGCCCCCUGGACGAAGACUGACGCUCAGGUGCGAAAGCGUGGGGAGCAAACAGG
Molecule: ribosomal RNA, 429 nt
Filed under: Fusobacteriota bacterium
Lineage: Bacteria; Fusobacteriati; Fusobacteriota
Description: Fusobacteria bacterium partial 16S ribosomal RNA
Rfam family: Bacterial small subunit ribosomal RNA
Source: RNAcentral